UGGGGAAUAUUGCACAAUGGGCGCAAGCCUGAUGCAGCCAUGCCGCGUGUAUGAAGAAGGCCUUCGGGUUGUAAAGCACUUUCAGCGGGGAGGAAGGCGAUAAGGUUAAUAACCUCAUCGAUUGACGUUACCCGCAGAAGAAGCACCGGCUAACUCCGUGCCAGCAGCCGCGGUAAUACGGAGGGUGCAAGCGUUAAUCGGAAUUACUGGGCGUAAAGCGCACGCAGGCGGUCUGUCAAGUCGGAUGUGAAAUCCCCGGGCUUAACCUGGGAACUGCAUUCGAAACUGGCAGGCUAGAGUCUUGUAGAGGGGGGUAGAAUUCCAGGUGUAGCGGUGAAAUGCGUAGAGAUCUGGAGGAAUACCGGUGGCGAAGGCGGCCCCCUGGACGAAGACUGACGCUCAGGUGCGAAAGCGUGGGGAGCAAACAGG
Molecule: ribosomal RNA, 429 nt
Filed under: Chloroflexota bacterium
Lineage: Bacteria; Bacillati; Chloroflexota
Description: Chloroflexi bacterium partial 16S ribosomal RNA
Rfam family: Bacterial small subunit ribosomal RNA
Source: RNAcentral